RNAcentral lists this long non-coding RNA (431 nucleotides) under Mytilus galloprovincialis (Mediterranean mussel). Lineage: Eukaryota; Metazoa; Mollusca; Bivalvia; Mytilida; Mytilidae. The record is from RNAcentral.
CAUGGCUUCAUCCAUAAUGAUUUUUUGUAACAGAUUAGUGAUAAUGAAUGUCAUAAUAAACUGUUAUCUAAAAUAAAAGUUCAUCCCAAGCUCACAUAGGCCAGAGGCCCCAGACUUGGAACAGAUACUUAAAUACCGAGAGGUUAAACAAGUUUUUUAAAAUCUCAACUAAAUGAAGAAGAAGCAACGCACAACAAUACACACAGUAAAAAUCACACAGUUUAAACUAAUAAAGAGUCCAAUAUCAGAAUAAGUAACAAAUUAAACAAAACAAAAAUUGAAAAUGACGACAUUACAAAAAUCAACAACGCACUACGAACAGUUACCGACAUGUCAGCUCCAGACCUCAAUUAAACUGUUCGAAAAACUAUGUCUUGAAUAUAUACGAAAAUCUAGCACCAUCCCGUCAUGGGGGUUUAAUAUCAUAUCAC